UCCGGGGUAGCUCAACGGUAGAGCGGCUCCCUGUUAAGGAGAUGGUUGUCGGUUCGAAUCCGACCCCCGGAGCCA
This 75-nucleotide transfer RNA is filed under the name Candidatus Woykebacteria bacterium GWB1_45_5. RNAcentral describes it as "tRNA-Asn". It matches the Rfam family "tRNA". From Rfam's summary of the family: Transfer RNA (tRNA) molecules are approximately 80 nucleotides in length. Their secondary structure includes four short double-helical elements and three loops (D, anti-codon, and T loops). The record is from RNAcentral. Lineage: Bacteria; Candidatus Woykeibacteriota.